GAUGAACGCUGGCGGCGUGCUUAACACAUGCAAGUCGAACGAUGAUCCCAGCUUGCUGGGGGAUUAGUGGCGAACGGGUGAGUAACACGUGAGUAACCUGCCCUUAACUCUGGGAUAAGCCUGGGAAACUGGGUCUAAUACCGGAUAUGACUCCUCAUCGCAUGGUGGGGGGUGGAAAGCUUUUUUGUGGUUUUGGAUGGACUCGCGGCCUAUCAGCUUGUUGGUGAGGUAAUGGCUCACCAAGGCGACGACGGGUCGCCGGCCUGAGAGGGUGACCGGCCACACUGGGACUGAGACACGGCCCAGACUCCUACGGGAGGCAGCAGUGGGGAGUAUUGCACAAUGGGCGCAAGCCUGAUGCAGCGACGCCGCGUGAGGGAUGACGGCCUUCGGGUUGUAAACCUCUUUCAGUAGGGAAGAAGCGAAAGUGACGGUACCUGCAGAAGAAGCGCCGGCUAACUACGUGCCAGCAGCCGCGGUAAUACGUAGGGCGCAAGCGUUAUCCGGAAUUAUUGGGCGUAAAGAGCUCGUAGGCGGUUUGUCGCGUCUGCCGUGAAAGUCCGGGGCUCAACUCCGGAUCUGCGGUGGGUACGGGCAGACUAGAGUGAUGUAGGGGAGACUGGAAUUCCUGGUGUAGCGGUGAAAUGCGCAGAUAUCAGAGGAACACCGAUGGCGAAAGGCAGGUCUCUGGGCAUUAACUGACGCUGAGGAGCGAAAGCAUGGGGAGCGAACAGGAUUAGAUACCCUGGUAGUCCAUGCCGUAAACGUUGGGCACUAGGUGUGGGGGACAUUCCACGUUUUCCGCGCCGUAGCUAACGCAUUAAGUGCC
RNAcentral lists this ribosomal RNA (829 nucleotides) under uncultured bacterium. RNAcentral describes it as "bacterial SSU rRNA". It matches the Rfam family "Bacterial small subunit ribosomal RNA", at positions 28 to 868 of the family's 1533-position model. The record is from RNAcentral.